GACGAACGCUGGCGGCGUGCUUAACACAUGCAAGUCGAACGAUGAACCCGGAGCUUGCUCCGGCGGAUUAGUGGCGAACGGAUGAGUAACACGUGAGUAACCUGCCCUUGACUCUGGGAUAACUGCUAGAAAUGGUAGCUAAUACCGGAUACGACCCUCGGCGGCAUCGCCAGGGGGUGGAAAGAAUUUGGGUCAAGGAUGGACUCGCGGCCUAUCAGCUAGUUGGUGAGGUAAGGGCUCACCAAGGCGACGACGGGUAGCCGGCCUGAGAGGGUGACCGGCCACACUGGGACUGAGACACGGCCCAGACUCCUACGGGAGGCAGCAGUGGGGAAUAUUGCACAAUGGGCGCAAGCCUGAUGCAGCAACGCCGCGUGAGGGAUGACGGCCUUCGGGUUGUAAACCUCUUUUAGUAGGGAAGAAGCGAAAGUGACGGUACCUGCAGAAAAAGCACCGGCUAACUACGUGCCAGCCGCCGCCGUAA
Molecule: ribosomal RNA, 484 nt
Filed under: uncultured bacterium
Lineage: Bacteria
Description: partial 16S ribosomal RNA
Rfam family: Bacterial small subunit ribosomal RNA
Source: RNAcentral